AUAUGUAUUGAUCUCUAUCUGGAUUUGACUGGGGCUUAGGGGAGGGGAGGCGAGAGCGAGCGAGAGAAGGAGCGCGCGGGUCGGGAUGCCCCCAAAUAACCUCCCUGAAACUGUAACAGACGAGAAGAGACAACUUCAUCUUCUGCCCUCCCCCGCCCAGUGCCUUUACAGGACGGAGCGCAAGAAGGAGACCUCCUUAGAAAGCACUCGGUUUAUUUGUCCUUCUUCCUUCUGUGUUACACAUCUGGCUGGCUAGCACACACUCACACUCACACUCACACUCACACUCACACUCCGUUACAACAGCAGCACCCUCGACGCCAGGUCUACCGAAAUUGCAGCCCGCCCGCCGGCGAGAGCCAGGCUCCGAAGCCAGACGCUUGAUACUUUUUCUUUGCCUUCUAAAAGAGACAUGAUGCAAGUUCAUUUGGACACACAGAGGCUGCUGUUUCACUUUGGGCCGAUACCAUCUCAUCCCUGCAGCCCUCAGGAAGGAAAUCAUAAACUCUUCAGAAAUGGAUGUGAGCCUCCAGAGAAGGAAAUUCAUCCCAGAGUGAUUAAGGGAAUGGAACACCAUGGAACGCCAUCUGCUGAGGUGUUGAUGUGAGGAGCUUGAAUGCUAGCAUUGCUGGAAUUCCCAAGAAGAAACCCA
Molecule: long non-coding RNA, 652 nt
Organism: Caretta caretta (loggerhead turtle)
Lineage: Eukaryota; Metazoa; Chordata; Testudines; Cheloniidae
Source: RefSeq, a predicted model, not a curated record